This is a long non-coding RNA of Oncorhynchus tshawytscha (Chinook salmon), 2565 nucleotides long. NCBI's taxonomy places the organism in Eukaryota, Metazoa, Chordata, Actinopteri, Salmoniformes, Salmonidae. The record is from Ensembl.
UCUGUAGUUGAUUGGUCUCCUCUGUAGUUGAUUGGUCUCCUCUGUAGUUGAUUGGUCUCCUCUGUAGUUGACUGGUCUCCUCUGGUCUCCUCUGUAGUUGACUGGUCUCCUCUGUAGUUGACUGGUCUGCUCUGUAGUUGACUGGUCUCCUCUGUAGUUGAUUGGUCUCCUCUGUAGUUUACUGGUCUCCUCUGGUCUCUGUAGUUGACUGGUAUCCUCUGGUCUCUGUAGAUGACUGGUCUCCUCUGGUCUCUGUAGAUGACUGGUCUCCUCUGGUCUCCUCUGUAGUUUGCUGGUCUCCUCUGGUCUCUGUAGUUGACUGGUCUCCUCUGGUCUCUUCUGUAGUUGACUGGUCUCCUCUGUAGUUGAAUGGUCCCCUCUGGUAUCCUCUGUAGUUGACUGGUCUCCUCUGUAGUUGACUGGUCUCCUCUGUAGUUGAUUGGUCUCCUCUGUAGUUUACUGGUCUCCUCUGGUCUCUGUAGUUGACUGGUCUCCUCUGGUCUCUGUAGUUGACUGGUCUCCUCUGUAGUUGACUGGUCUCCUCUGUAGUUGACUGGUAUCCUCUGGUCUCUGUAGUUGACUGGUCUCCUCUGGUCUCCUCUGUAGUUGACUGGUCUCCUCUGGUCUCCUCUGUAGUUUGCUGGUCUCCUCUGGUCUCUGUAGUUGACUGGUCUCCUCUGGUCUCCUCUGUAGUUGACUGGUCUCCUCUGGUUUCCUCUGUAGUUUGCUAGUCUCCUCUGGUCUCUGUAGUUGACUGGUCUCCUCUGUAGUUGACUGGUCUCCUCUGUAGUUGACUGGUAUCCUCUGGUCUCUGUAGUUGACCGGUCUCCUCUGUAGUUGACUGGUCUCCUCUGUAGUUGACUGGUCUCCUCUGGUCUCUGUAGAUCACUGGUCUCCUCUGUAGUUGACUGGUCUCCUCUGUAGUUGACUGGUCUCCUCUGGUCUCUGUAGAUCACUGGUCUCCUCUGUAGUUGACUGGUCUCCUCUGUAGUUGACUGGUCUCCUCUGUAGUUGACUGGUCUCCUCUGUAGUUGACUGGUCUCCUCUGUAGUUGAUUGGUCUCCUCUGUAGUUUACUGGUCUCCUCUGGUCUCUGUAGUUGACUGGUAUCCUCUGGUCUCUGUAGAUGACUGGUCUCCUCUGGUCUCCUCUGUAGAUGACUGGUCUCCUCUGGUCUCCUCUGUAGUUUGCUGGUCUCCUCUGGUCUCUGUAGUUGACUGGUCUCCUCUGGUCUCUUCUGUAGUUGACCGGUCUCCUCUGUAGUUGACUGGUCUCCUCUGUAGUUGACUGGUCUCCUCUGUAGUUGACUGGUCUCCUCUGGUCUCCUCUGUAGUUGACUGGUCUCCUCUGUAGUUGACGGGUCUCCUCUGUAGUUGACUGGUCUCCUCUGUAGUUGACUGGUCUCCUCUGUAGUUGACUGGUCUCCUCUGUAGUUGACUGGUCUCCUCUGGUCUCCUCUGUAGUUGACUGGUCUCCUCUGGUCUCUUCUGUAGUUGACUGGUCUCCUCUGUAGUUGACUGGUCUCCUCUGUAGUUGACUGGUCUCCUCUGGUCUCCUCUGUAGUUGACGGGUCUCCUCUGUAGUUGACUGGUCUCCUCUGUAGUUGACUGGUCUCCUCUGUAGUUGAUUGGUCUCCUCUGUAGUUUACUGGUCUCCUCUGGUCUCUGUAGUUGACUGGUAUCCUCUGGUCUCUGUAGUUGACUGGUCUCCUCUGGUCUCCUCUGUAGUUGACUGGUCUCCUCUGGUCUCCUCUGUAGUUUGCUGGUCUCCUCUGGUCUCUGUAGUUGACUGGUCUCCUCUGGUCUCCUCUGUAGUUGACUGGUCUCCUCUGGUCUCCUCUGUAGUUUGCUGGUCUCCUCUGGUCUCUGUAGUUGACUGGUCUCCUCUGUAGUUGACUGGUCUCCUCUGUAGUUGACUGAUCUCCUCUGGUCUCCUCUGUAUUUUACUGGUCUCCUCUGUAGUUGACUGGUCUCCUCUGGUCUCUUCUGUAGUUGACUUGUCUCCUCUGUAGUUGACUGGUCUCCUCUGGUCUCCUCUAUAUUUGACUGGUCUCCUCUGAUCUCCACUGUAGUUGACUGGUCUCCUCUGGUCUCUGUAGUUGACUGGUCUCCUCUGGUGUCCUCUGUAGUUGACUGGUCUCCUCUGUAGUUUACUGGUCUCCUCUGUAGUUGACUGGUCUCCUCUGGUCUCUGUAGUUGACUGGUCUCCUCUGUAGUUGACUGGUCUCCUCUGUAGUUGACUGGUCUCCUCUGGUCUCCUCUGUAGUUGAGUGGUCUCCUCUGGUCUCCUCUGUAGUUGACUGGUCUUCUCUGGUCUCCUCUAUAGUUGACUGGUCUCUUCUGGUCUCUGUAGUUCACUGGUCUCCUCUGGUCUCUGUAGUUGGCUGGUCUCCUCUGUAGUUGACUGGUCUCCUCUGCUCUCUGUAGUUGACUGGUCUCCUCUGGUCUCUGUAGUUCACUGGUCUCCUCUGGUCUCUGUAGUUGGCUGGUCUCCUCUGUAGUUGACUGGUCUCCUCUGGUCUCUGUAGUUGACUGGUCUCCUCUGGUCUCCUCUGUAGUUGACUGGU